AAAAAAGGCAGCGCGGACGCCCAGGGAGGUUCAUGACAGAUUCUUCAAGCGAUGAAGAAUCUGUUGCACGACCAGAUAAACUGUCCAGGACGGAGCGUGCUUCUGGAAGCCCUGUCUGUAAGUUAAAAUGUAUGCAUGCAUAUAAGAAAACAGUCAUAUUUCAUAACAUGGAACCACUGACAGUCAACAUGGUGCAUAUCAUGUGAUUGUUCUGAUGUUUGUCUCUUCCUGUCUUUUUUCAGCUCAGCAGAUAACACUUUCUCCACCACCUGCAUGAAACCAGCUGGUUGCCCAGAGCAGGAUGAGUCUUUAGUGACCCUACCACGGACUGCCACUUCAUCUUGGGAC
Molecule: long non-coding RNA, 348 nt
Organism: Etheostoma cragini (Arkansas darter)
Lineage: Eukaryota; Metazoa; Chordata; Actinopteri; Perciformes; Percidae
Exons: 3
Source: RefSeq, a predicted model, not a curated record